AUUCCGUUAACGAACGAGACCUUAACCUGCUAACUAGCUGCUUGGAUUUUGUCCUCGUUUGCUUCUUAGAGGGACUCCUGUGCUUCAAGCGUGGGGGAA
Molecule: ribosomal RNA, 99 nt
Filed under: Babesia bigemina
Lineage: Eukaryota; Apicomplexa; Aconoidasida; Piroplasmida; Babesiidae
Description: partial 18S ribosomal RNA
Source: RNAcentral